Molecule: long non-coding RNA, 5682 nt
Filed under: Ailuropoda melanoleuca (giant panda)
Lineage: Eukaryota; Metazoa; Chordata; Mammalia; Carnivora; Ursidae
Description: lncRNA (ENSAMEG00000024243.1)
Source: RNAcentral
CCAACCCAGCCAAGGUCACAGCAAUGUAGUUUCUACCGGCAGAGUCUGGCAAAGUCUCCACAAAGACCUGGUAGCAAGACCGGCAGCCGCCGGGGAUUACCCGGCAGGAAAGGACCACCUGGCGAAGCAGACCCCGCGCCAGUAGGGCCCGCCUCCUCCCACAACCUAAGUCUCAGGAGUCCUGGAAGCCGCUCCCCCACAGCUAACCCGCUCCUCCAGUCCACACUCUGCCCUGCAGCCCAGCUGAGCGGAUCCCUUGGGCCCAGCUCAUCUCCGUGCCCGUGGCUGAUGGGGGAACUGGCUCUGAUCCGUGCUGUGGCCCAUUCCGUGGUUCCUGGGUCAGGGCCCGGGCCAAGGGUUCUGGCAAAUGCAGGGAUUUAUCAGACAUGAAUGGGCCCUCCAAGGUCCCUGCCCUGGCCCAGUCGCUGGGAUUCUAGAGCUGAAUAAACCCCGUGGCCUCCAGCAGGAGGGAGCGGCCCUCAGUGACAGCCGCGCGGUCAGAGGGGAGCUGGGGCACGGUGUCGCGGGGCUUCCCUGUGUUACAAGAAACAGCUGCACAGCCCAGGUGUCCUGUGGGCUUCCACGAGGACUGGGACACAUGGGAUCCGCGUCGGAGGCCAAGGCGGCUCCCGGGACCGCCACUCCCACCUUUCCCACCCUGGCUCCGCGCUGUGCUCCUCUGGCUCCUGGCCAGCCUGCUUUGCUCUCUCCUGUCCCACAGAACUGGCAGUUUUGUUCCUGGGGACGCCUUGGCUUCCAAGCUGGACCCAAAGAUCUCUGCCUAAGAGGCAGCUACUCCCUUUGCCGGCUUGGAGCAGUGGCCGCCCCCCUCUGUGGCCCUGCUGGAUUCGGAGCCAUGGGUCCCCUCACAGUUCAGAUACCCCAAGCCGGUCUGAUGAGGCCCCCUCUGCACACAACAGAAAGAGCUCCCCUUCCUCCUGUCAACAGGGAGAGAGGGUUCAGCUGAGCCAGGACGGUGUCUAGCCGACCCCGGUUCCUAGACCGUCCCCCUUGCUAGCACCCGCCUUCUCUGAUCGCCGAGACCUUGCCGGUUUACUGUGUUCGGGGCACAAAGCCCAGAGCCUCGCACAUCAGAGGCGCUCAGAAAACACUGAACAGAUAAGUCAGCACAAACGGAGGAAUGUCUUCCCAGCGCUGUCCCUUCUUCUCCACCAGGGGACCCCAAAGGACCUACCAGGUACCUAGCGACACCCACCCUCUGGCCAGGGUUGAUGGGUCCAGAGGAGGACACUGGCUCAAGCCCAGGCCGAGGAAUGUCCUUCCCUGACAAUUGUCUGGCAACAACUCAGGAAGUGGGGUGCGCUCUCCUGGGGGCACAGGACGGCUCUUACACGUGGGGGCACAGGGCAGCUGGUCGCUACGCAGGGAGAGAGAACGCACUGGGGACACGCAGAUGACAGAGGGCCUUGGGCCUCCCCACCCCGGCCGGGCUGCGCUCGCGUCCCCUGCAGGCUGUUGUCCAGCACUUGCUUUGAACGAGGUGCCGCUGCAUCCCUCCAAUAAAUCCCCCAUUGACUUAAACAUAGUAGCAUUAAGAAAAGUAAACUAGUAUAAAGAAAACAAAAUGUCCCGUAACACAAUACCCAGGAAGAUGCGUCUGACAAUAAAAAGAUCAAUGCAUGCUGUCCUUUAGAUGUAGGGAUGGCAGACAUGCUACACGGAUCCUCCCUCUCCCUCCACCUCGGGCCUGGAGACCCCUCCCCAGGCUGCCUGGCCAGCAGUGCCCUCCAUCCGCCCCCAUCAGCACCGGCCAGACCUGCCCAGGCAGCGGCUUCCCUGCCAUCCCCAGGGCUUAGCGGGCAGCUUGGCAGACGGCAGAUCUUGAAUAGAAGUAGAGAAUGCAGGGGCGCCUGGGUGGCACAGCGGUUAAGCGUCUGCCUUCGGCUCAGGGCGUGAUCCCGGCGUUGUGGGAUCGAGCCCCACAUCAGGCUCCUCCGCUAUGAGCCUGCUUCUUCCUCUCCCACUCCCCCUGCUUGUGUUCCCUCUCUCGCUGGCUGUCUCUAUCCCUGUCGAAUAAAUAAAUAAAAUCUUAAAAAAAAAAAAAAGAAGUAGAGAAUGCAUUAAAUCACCAUUCCGCUCUCGCCCAGGUAUGAACCAUUUGGUCACAGGAUACAGCAUUCUCCUGCCCUCUAGGACCAAGGAGGGACAUCACUGGGAGGGGUUCACAGCCUAGUGGCAUUGAGAGCAAAGUGCGAAGGACUCAGGGAGACAGUGGAAUGCAGGAAACUAAAAAGGCACAAAGCGGGGGCCUACGAAAUGGAAAGGGAAGGUCUGAAAUAGAAGGGUGAAUGAAAGGCCUCGAGGUCAAGUGAGGCCGACCUAAAACCCGAGAGGGGGUGCCGCCCCACCUGACAGGUGCCUUCUGUUAAAAGUGUAUCUUACGUACAGUAUGUACAGAAAACAUUUGUACAGUUACCAGAUAAUAAACACGUGCCCACCACCCAGGCCAAGAAAUCGGCUCUUCCCGUCCCCGGAACCCUCUCUGCGCCCCCCCCCCCCCCGGGUUCCCCCCCCCCCCCCCNNNNNNNNNNNNNNNNNNNNNNNNNNNNNNNNNNNNNNNNNNNNNNNNNNNNNNNNNNNNNNNNNNNNNNNNNNNNNNNNNNNNCCCCCCCCCCAGGCCAAGAAAUCGGCCCUUCCCGUCCCCGGAACCCCCUCUGCGCCCCCCCCCCCAUGGAUCCCCCGCCCCCAACCCUGCUCAGCGGUAACCGUCAUCCCGAAACUGCAAUUCCAUUUUCCUUCCGGUCAUGACAACCCACCCGUUCCGAUGUUUGAACAUUUGUAAUGGAAUAAUGUGUCUCUUCAAAAAAAAAAUAAAAAUAAAAAAUAAAAGUAACACAUGCUACCACUAGAAACACAGAAAAAUCCAGACAGACAUAAUGAAACUCUAACCUUUCUUGUUGAAUCGCUGGGUCGCACACCGGAAAGGAAUGUGACACUGCGUGCCAACUAGACCCAAAAACCAAAAAUCACAUCACUCCUUUCUACCCAGCCCCUCUCCCCAAAGAUUAACAGCUUCUGUUAAAUAUGCAUCUGUUUUUUUUUCUUUUUUAAGAUUUUAUUUAUUUGAGACAGAGAGAGGGAGGGUGAGCAUGAGAGCGAGCAGAGCAGGAGAGAGCAGAGGCAGAGGGAGAAGGAGAAGCAGGCUCCCCGCUGAGCAGGGGCAGAUGCGGCCUCGAUCCCAGGACUCUGGGAUCCCGACCCCAGCCGAAGGCAGACGCCGCACCGACUGAGCCACCCCGGCGCCCCGGAUGUAUAUCUUUCCAGAGCGAAGUCCGGCACGUGUGUGCGCGUACACACGGAUACAGAAGCGAGCGCUCAUUUACUUCCUGCAACUUCUCCCCUGGCGGGAGGUGGGGCGCGGCCCUGCCCCCCGGGGCCCUCACUCUCGCAGCUGCCACCCCGAUGCUUCUUCGUGGUACGCAUGCGCCCCAGGCAAGCGCUCCCGACCCGACGGGCGGACGCUGAAGGUACGCACCGUUCGGGGCUCUGCGAUCGCCUGCUCCGCGGCCGUGAACGUAUUUAUGCAUUUCCCUUUGCUCUACUUUUUGCAAAUGUAUCCAGAGGGCAAAUUCCUAGCAGGGAAACGACUGAGACAAAAAGUUCAUGCGUUAAAAAAACAAAACCAAAAAAACGCUGGUGCCUUUUGCCCAACUGUUCUCCAGAAACAGCACGUGCCCGCUUCCAGCAUUCAGGCCACAGGAGUACGAGAACGCUUGUCCCGCUCGCGCCCUCCCCAGGAUAGAAUAGCUUCAAGCUCGAGAAUCUUUGCCAACUCAGCAGGUGACAGCUGCUGUCUCGUUAUUUGGAUUUCCCCACGCUGAUGAAGAGGGUCGAGCUGUUUUUGUGCCAGUAUAAGAGAAUCUGAAGAUAAAAUAGUACAUUAAUACAGAAUAUAAGCCUUAAUCAGACAAACCCCAUUGGGACAACUAGAAAACCCAUCGUCAAAAUAACUACCAGGCCCUCAGCUCACGACCGCCGCUCGGUGGGCCAGACAAUCUGAACAUAAAACGGAAUCAAGAAAGUCCUACAGCAAAGCCAGCACCAGCGUAUUCCUUAUCUCAGAGGGAAGAAGGCCUUGCUUCCCUCCCCUGCAGCCCCAAACCAGAGACCGUAGAGAGAAAGAACUGCAGGGUAUUUCUGUGGGUCCAAACCAUAAACCCAAGGGAAGCAAAUGACAAACAGGGAGCCACCGGCUCAUCUCCUGUCACUGAAAACCAUCCAAGGCUCACAAGGUGGUGGGGCCUCCCCUCUAAGGGCACUGAUGGUGAGCGGGGAGAGGCACCUGAGUGGGGGAUGGAGAGGGCGGUGGUCCUGGUGUUGGAGGGAACGCAGACCAGAGCAGGAGGGCGGCUGGUUCCUCGGGAGACAGAUGAAAACGGUGAAGACUCAUAAUAAAAAUCUUCCAACAGGGAGGAGCAGAAAUGAGAGCGACAAAGAUGGGAGAGGUAGAGAGGAGAGGGAAAGCAGAGGAGGGGGCCUCUGGGGUGGCUGAUACAGCCAGGGGUCCCCCGGGCCCAGGAGGAUGCCCGCACCCUCCCCAGAACGUGACCUCUUUACUCUUGUGGCUACAGGAGAAAACAAAAGUCUUUGGGACUCACAGGGCAGGAGAGGAGGACUCCACUCUGACUGCCCGAUUCCAGGUCUCCUGUAACGUCUCCUCUGAGAACAGAGGAAGAAGGCGGAAGGCAGGUUUCAGCAGCAGCCGAGCAUGGACGGUGCAUUCCAGGGAACAUUCUAGAACGUCGUGGGCUUGGCUCCAGCAGAGUAGGCCGUCCGCACAGAUCUUGCUGAUGAUUCCGAAAACCCAGGAGAACAUGCUUCAGGGUCCGAGCAGAACCACCGCUAGGAACUCCGUCCACAGCCCCAAGACGGGCGGUCCUCACAGAGAAAGGGCGCGAGAAGCCGAGAUGCACUCCAGCGAGUCCGGCUCCUGAGCUCUAACCUACCAGGCCGCCCCUGCCGUGAGCACCCGGCGUCUAAAGCACUCCUGUUGGGAGGAAGGGGAGCUUCCGUCGUAUUCCAAAACGAGGAAAACAAGACCUCCUGCUUCAGUGAGCCUGGAGGACACGCUCAGAGCACAGAGCCGGGUGACGUUCGCUCAGAGGCUCCGUGAAAGCAUUGCGGCGACGUUUGCUCUCCGACGCCACGGCUCGGGGUCUGACGGUCUUGUCCGUUUCAGUAAAGGAUGACGGCUGUGAAAGAUACAAAACAGACCCAAUUCCUGCUUUCCUUCCGUGUGGGCGUCCUCGCCUUCCCCUCCUUACGGUUACGGGCACACGCUUCUAACACACAGGCCAUGUUUUUGCGAAGGCUUUUGACGGUGACAGCUGCCGUGAUCUUCCUGCCCGGCCGUAUUUUCCUUCCAAAAGUCCCCUCGGUCCUGUGAUGAGAUCAUGAAAAAGACCCUUCCUUUGAUAUUCUUUUUAGAAGAGAACUAGUCAUCACCAGCGUUUCUCCUGCCAGCACUCGACUCCACGUCAGCGAUGGCAAAACAGCGGGCAUAUGGUUGACGUGAAGGAUUCAGUUCUACUCUGGGGGCACCUGGGGGGCUCUGCCAGUGAUGCGUCUGCCUUCGGCUCAGGUCAUGAUCCCAGGAUCCUGGGGGCGAGUCCUGCAUCGGGCUCCCUGCUCAGCAGCGAGCUUGUCCCUCUCCCUCUGCUC